CACCGGAGUACCCCUUUAAUAAUGUAGCACAAACCUCUACGUUAUUUGAUAGAGCAGAAUCCAUUAAAAAAAAAAAAACGUAUAUCACGCUGUUUGGAAGCAAUAUAGUAACCAGCAUUUCACACCGCCAUCUUGAAGCGUCUCCAUCAUAACAAAGUUAUAUUUUUUCGCAAUUUCUUACAACUAGGGAGAGUUUUGCAUCUUGCACCUGUAAAUCCUGUAACGGUGAGGUGCACGUUGCGGGUGAUUCGGCAGAACUUGCAGCCAAUUCUGGUGUCCAGUCUAACCCAGGAGACUUGGCUGCAGACAGCAAACGACUUUCAGUUUGUGGCACAAUUCUCCAACUCCAUAGGCCCCGCCAGAGCCACAUCUGUCAUUCAGGACCAUGAAACAGCAGAGUUGUGAUGUCACGGAGGUUGUCACCCAGCUUUCCCAGGCACAGAUAUAGCGGAUCUGUAUUUUCUGGUAUCUCAUCACUUGUCCGUCCUCCAUUCCUCUGCGGUUCAGGGCGGGGGUUGUCAUCUCACGUGUGAUGUAGCAGAGUCCACUGAGCGCUGAGCAGGGACACCCGCAGAUUGUUGACUGUAAAGUUUGG
Molecule: long non-coding RNA, 595 nt
Organism: Hyla sarda
Lineage: Eukaryota; Metazoa; Chordata; Amphibia; Anura; Hylidae
Exons: 3
Source: RefSeq, a predicted model, not a curated record